This 72-nucleotide transfer RNA is filed under the name Aspergillus ruber CBS 135680. RNAcentral describes it as "tRNA-Cys (GCA) (tRNA-Cys-GCA-3-1)". It matches the Rfam family "tRNA". Rfam says of the family: Transfer RNA (tRNA) molecules are approximately 80 nucleotides in length. The record is from Rfam by way of RNAcentral. Lineage: Eukaryota; Fungi; Ascomycota; Eurotiomycetes; Eurotiales; Aspergillaceae.
GAAUUGGUGGCCAAGCGGUAAGGCCUGUGAUUGCAAAUCACAAGACCCCGUGUUCAACCCACGGUCGAUUCU